Molecule: transfer RNA, 64 nt
Filed under: Cryptocephalus cynarae
Lineage: Eukaryota; Metazoa; Arthropoda; Insecta; Coleoptera; Chrysomelidae
Description: tRNA-Gly
Source: RNAcentral
ACUUAUAUAUUAUAAAAAUUAUAUUUGACUUCCAAUCAAAAAAUCUAGUACCCUAGUAUAAGUA